Long non-coding RNA from Sapajus apella (tufted capuchin), 198 nucleotides. RefSeq lists it as uncharacterized. The record is from RefSeq and is a predicted model, not a curated record. NCBI's taxonomy places the organism in Eukaryota, Metazoa, Chordata, Mammalia, Primates, Cebidae. The transcript is spliced from 3 exons.
AAGCCACACAGGUAAUAUUUAAUAGAACCAGACUUUGAAAAUAUUAAAGGAGAGUGAGUUUCCUGACCACCAGCAAGGGAUAGGAGGGGGGAAAAAAUGAAGCCAGGAGCAUAGAUAAUCCACAGAGAAAGCAAUCGGUCCCUCCAAGAAAGAGCUGAUGGAAAAAAACAGUCAAAGUCAGAGAAUUCUGAGGGUUAA